This 497-nucleotide ribosomal RNA is filed under the name uncultured bacterium. RNAcentral describes it as "partial 16S ribosomal RNA". It matches the Rfam family "Bacterial small subunit ribosomal RNA", at positions 28 to 507 of the family's 1533-position model. The record is from RNAcentral.
GAUGAACGCUGGCGGCGUGCCUAAUACAUGCAAGUCGAGCGAACGGACGAGAAGCUUGCUUCUCUGAUGUUAGCGGCGGACGGGUGAGUAACACGUGGAUAACCUACCUAUAAGACUGGGAUAACUUCGGGAAACCGGAGCUAAUACCGGAUAAUAUUUUGAACCGCAUGGUUCAAAAGUGAAAGACGGUCUUGCUGUCACUUAUAGAUGGAUCCGCGCUGGAUUAGCUAGUUGGUAAGGUAACGGCUUACCAAGGCAACGAUGCAUAGCCGACCUGAGAGGGUGAUCGGCCACACUGGAACUGAGACACGGUCCAGACUCCUACGGGAGGCAGCAGUAGGGAAUCUUCCGCAAUGGGCGAAAGCCUGACGGAGCAACGCCGCGUGAGUGAUGAAGGUCUUCGGAUCGUAAAACUCUGUUAUUAGGGAAGAACAUAUGUGUAAGUAACUGUGCACAUCUUGACGGUACCUAAUCAGAAAGCAACGGCUAACUACGUG